ACGGAAGGCAGCAGUGGGGAAUAUUGGGCAAUGGGCGCAAGCCUGACCCAGCAAUGCCGCGUGAAGGAAGAAGGCUUUCGGGUUGUAAACUUCUUUUAUGAGGGACGAGGGACGUGACGGUACCUCAUGAAUAAGCCACGGCUAACUACGUGCCAGCAGCCGCGGUAAUACGUAGGUGGCAAGCGUUAUCCGGAUUUACUGGGUGUAAGGGCGCGUAGGCGGGGAUGCAAGUCAGAUGUGAAAUCCAUGGGCUUAACUCAUGAACUGCAUUUGAAACCGUAUCUCUUGAGUGCUGGAGAGGUAGAUGGAAUUCCUUGUGUAGCGGUGAAAUGCGUAGAUAUAAGGAAGAACACCAGUGGCGAAGGCGAUCUACUGGACAGUAACUGACGCUGAGGCGCGAAAGCGUGGGGAGCAAACAGGAUUAGAUACCCUGGUA
This 436-nucleotide ribosomal RNA is filed under the name uncultured Oscillospiraceae bacterium. RNAcentral's name for it is "partial 16S ribosomal RNA". It matches the Rfam family "Bacterial small subunit ribosomal RNA", at positions 341 to 792 of the family's 1533-position model. Lineage: Bacteria; Bacillati; Bacillota; Clostridia; Eubacteriales; Oscillospiraceae. The record is from RNAcentral.